UCAGCAGCCGCGGUAAUACAUAGGSUUCAAGCGUUGUCCGGAUUUAUUGGGCGUAAAGAGUUCGUAGGCGGUCGAGUAARUUGGGUGUGAAAAUUCUGGGCUCAACCCAGAAACGCCACCCGAUACUGCUUAACUUGAGUUCGAUAGGGGAGUGGGGAAUUCCUAGUGUAGCGGUGAAAUGCGCAGAUAUUAGGAGGAACACCGGUGGCGAAGGCGCCACUCUGGAUCGAUACUGACGCUGAGGAACGAAAGCAUGGGUAGCAAACMGGAUUAGAUACCCUGGUAGUCCAUGCCGUAAACGGUGGGCACUAGGUGUGGGAUUCUAUUAACGAAUUCCGCGCCGUCGCUAACGCAUUAAGUGCCCCGCCUGGGGAGUACGGYCGCAARACUAAAACUCAAAGGAAUUGACGG
This 411-nucleotide ribosomal RNA is filed under the name uncultured bacterium. Its description in RNAcentral is "bacterial SSU rRNA". It matches the Rfam family "Bacterial small subunit ribosomal RNA", at positions 508 to 916 of the family's 1533-position model. The record is from RNAcentral.